Molecule: ribosomal RNA, 305 nt
Filed under: uncultured bacterium
Lineage: Bacteria
Description: partial 16S ribosomal RNA
Rfam family: Bacterial small subunit ribosomal RNA
Source: RNAcentral
ACAGCAGUCGCCGCGGUAAUACGUAGGGUGCAAGCGUCAUCCGGAAUUAUUGGGCGUAAAGAGCUCGUAGGCGGUUUGUCGCGUCUGCUGUGAAAACUGGAGGCUCAACCUCCAGCCUGCAGUGGGUACGGGCAGACUAGAGUGCGGUAGGGGAGAUUGGAAUUCCUGGUGUAGCGGUGGAAUGCGCAGAUAUCAGGAGGAACACCGAUGGCGAAGGCAGAUCUCUGAGCCGUAACUGACGCUGAGGAGCGAAAGCAUGGGGAGCGAACAGGAUUAGAUACCCGAGUAGUCCCUGUCUCUUAUAA